GAUAAAUUUUUACAAUUAAAUGGAGGUGUUUUCAUUUUUCCAAGCUCUGGCGUUGCAGUUAGUGGCAUAGAUUCAGUAGUUCCAAUAAUGCUUGUGUCAAAACUAAUUGAUCCAUUUGCAGCACUCGAGUCGAACUGAGGUUCGCCAAUGAUAUUAGCGGAUGGACUAUCAAAAAAUGAUACCUCUGGAUAGACACAUUCAAUAUCAGGAUUCAUUACCUUCUUCUCAGCAUCUGCAGCCUCUUGAAGCUCCAAUACAAAUUCAAGUUUUCCCAUCACAUCAUGCAUGGUUGGUCGUUCAAUCCCUUUAUUACUUAGACAACUUAAUGCAAUCUCCACAAAUUUACUAGAACACUCAGGAGCUAUGCGGCCCUUCAGAUGAGGAUCAAUUAUUUGACAAAGAGUCCCAUUCUGGAUGCAUUUUUGUGCCCAAUUGACCAAAUUCAUUUGUUCCUCCUCCAACUUCUGGUUGAGAGGCUUCCGAGCACACAACACUUCCAAUAAUACUACCCCAAAUGAAUACACAUCAGAUUUUUCUGUCAAUUGUUGGUAUCGAGCAUAUUCUGGAUCUAGAUACCCCCAAGUUCCCUUUACUAUGGUACUAACUGCCUCAUUGUAAGCUAUUUUUGAUAACCCGAAAUCUGAAACUUUGGCAACCCACUUUUCAUCUAACAGAAUAUUGCUAGUCUUUACAUCACGAUGGAUUAUUGUAUUUGCCAAUUCAGCAUGAAGAUAAUGCAAUCCGCGUGCUGCACCGAUGCAUAUCUGGAGCCUUUUCUUCCAUGGAAGUGGAUUGUUG
Molecule: unclassified non-coding RNA, 798 nt
Filed under: Hevea brasiliensis (rubber tree)
Lineage: Eukaryota; Viridiplantae; Streptophyta; Magnoliopsida; Malpighiales; Euphorbiaceae
Source: RNAcentral